CCUACGGGAGGCAGCAGUGAGGAAUAUUGGUCAAUGGGCGGAAGCCUGAACCAGCCAAGCCGCGUGAGGGAUGAAGGCACAGAGCGUCGCAAACCUCUUUUGCCGGGGGACAAAAGGGCAAACGGGUCCGGUCCUGAGGGUACCCGGAGAAAAAGCAUCGGCUAACUCCGUGCCAGCAGCCGCGGUAAUACGGAGGAUGCGAGCGUUAUCCGGAUUCAUUGGGUUUAAAGGGUGCGCAGGCGGCCCGUUAAGUCGGCGGUGAAAUGGCGGGGCUCAACCCCGCCGCGCCGUCGGAACUGGGGGCCUCGAGUUAGACGGAGGUAUGCGGAAUGCGUGGUGUAGCGGUGAAAUGCAUAGAUAUCGCGAAGAACCCCGAUUGCGAAGGCAGCGUGCUGGGUCGACACUGACGCUGAGGCACGAAAGCGUGGGGAUCGAACAGGAUUAGAUACCCCUGUAGUC
Molecule: ribosomal RNA, 459 nt
Filed under: uncultured bacterium
Lineage: Bacteria
Description: partial 16S ribosomal RNA
Rfam family: Bacterial small subunit ribosomal RNA
Source: RNAcentral